UUUCAUCCCAUCAGAUAACAAACUCCUCCUGAAGAGGGAGGGGUGGAGAUGGGAGGGGGAGCGCAACACUGGAGUUCAGCGGGGAAAGCUCCUGAAGGUGUUGGUAUUCAGACGCUUAGGCCCCGUUUGAGCAAGCAGGUCCCUCACCUGCCGUACAGGUGCGGGCAGGUGCACGGAUAGGACUCAGAACCUGCAUUUUAUCCUGGCUCACAGAAACCCAGGAACGCAUCCCCACCUCGAAACUGAGAUGGGAAAGGAGAAACUAGAAUCUUUAAUAUCAGGUGGGAUGAGGCGUCCUGUCUCCACAGAAGCCGCUCCUCUCCAGAGAAAGACGAACAGAUGAGAAUAUUCCUCUGGGCUGAAGCAGCACCAUGCCCGGGAGGAAAGCUCUAACCAGCCCCUUGUGAUCUGGCUGCCGCCAGGGCCAGCUGUGAGGACAGGGGGUCUCCGCCGCAGGGAAAGGAAGCGGGGUCUCUAGUCCCAGGUGGAGGUGGAGGUGGAUGCAGUGGGCUCCCUCCCUGGUGACUGCACGGCCGUCUCUUCCCUUGCUUCUACUUCGUGCCCUGGCCUCAGGCUCAGCGUGAGUGCAGGCAGAGCCCACUGCCGCGACACCUCCCCUGGGGAAGGGUCAGGCAGGUGUGGCCGCAUGGCACCCACGAGGUGCCAAAUGCCUGUCCUGCGAGGCUCAGCCCCCCUAUGGCUCCCCAGCACCCUCCCCAGCCCUCCCCUGCAAGUUGGCCCACAGCCCUCUCUGCCAUUCACCCAAUCCUCUGCUCACCUGUAUCUGUUAAUUAACAGGUCAUGUUCAAGUUCAUCCUUUUACAAGAUCCGUCUUUCUAGGGAGACG
This 847-nucleotide long non-coding RNA is filed under the name Equus caballus (horse). RNAcentral's name for it is "lncRNA (ENSECAG00000058398.1)". The record is from RNAcentral. Lineage: Eukaryota; Metazoa; Chordata; Mammalia; Perissodactyla; Equidae.